UUGCUGAAUAAUAAUCUUAUCUGGUGUGGAUCAGGUUCCCACUAAUGGCAAGCUUUGUGCUGACAAGCAAAACCAAAUCUUUAGUUGGAACGUUGUAUCAGUCAAUUUUGUGCUAAUAACCAUGAAUACAAGCAUAAUUAGUAUCCUCUGCUUGUAGUGGCAAGGCCAAGGGUGAGCUUCUGGCAAGCGAUGGAGAUGUAGAAGACGAGGUGGGUGAGAGAGAGAGGAGGGGGAUGGAAAUCCAAGCAUUAUACUGGACAUAAACACUAGACUUGGAGUAGCACAGCUGUGCAGGUGCAGCAGUUGGAAAGCUCAUCAAUUUGGUGACGAAGUGAAGGUUGCCCAAGCUGAUGAUUCAAGUAAUUAGUAAAAUUUACUAGUGAGACUUGCCGGAUAACAUUAGGCAAUCGAUGCUUGCAAAGUUUUUGAAGGUAUAGAUAUGAAUUUGUCACAA
Molecule: long non-coding RNA, 454 nt
Organism: Eucalyptus grandis
Lineage: Eukaryota; Viridiplantae; Streptophyta; Magnoliopsida; Myrtales; Myrtaceae
Exons: 2
Source: RefSeq, a predicted model, not a curated record